Molecule: long non-coding RNA, 808 nt
Organism: Mauremys reevesii (Reeves's turtle)
Lineage: Eukaryota; Metazoa; Chordata; Testudines; Geoemydidae
Exons: 4
Source: RefSeq, a predicted model, not a curated record
GGAUACUACAGAUAGUGCCCUGCCAUGUGGAGUUUAGAACUAUUACAGUUUGAUCCAUGUCUGGCUGACCACCUUUCUAAAUCUGGACAGAAGGGGAAAGAUGGUGGUGAAACAGGAUCUUCUGAGCUGCAAAGCAGCAUUUAAUGUUGGUGAUUAGCUCAUUCACCUACUUGAACAUCUUCAUGCAGAAAACCCUGUGGAAGAGCUUCAGGCAGCUGAUGCCUCAUUACAGGGACAGUAUGAUGAUGUAGGUGCCAUCUGAUCAGGAGCCUUACCUGCUGUACCACUGCACUGUCAGGGCUGACGAGGAAACUGCUGCUAAUACCCCACCACUAGAAGCUACACCCACUGACACAGUGCUGAUUGGACAUUACUAGGUAUAAAGCUUCCUGUUCCUAUGUCCUCCUGUUCCUGUCUCAACCCUUGUCUGAGCAGCUAGUUGCUAGGCCUGUUGCUGCCCAGACCUGAGACCAAGUCCCUGGUUCCUGUUCCCCUGCCUCAUCCCUGUUCCUAUAUCUUGUUCCUGGUUCCUUGCCCUGACCCAGGUUGCUGUCUCUGGCUUUGACUCUUGGCAUGACCACAACCCCAGCUCUGUUCCUGGCUCCAACCACUAGGUUAGGCAGUCCCCAUUGCGGGUCCUGACAGAUAAAAGGAAACUAAAGUGCCUGAGAUUUAUUGGGAAACAUCAUUCACAGUUUGCUAAAUAUCUGGAGCUUAUUUUUCCCCUCCCCUGGCCCCCUUUUCAUCUUACUCCACAAGUGGUGCCACUGACAUCAGAGGAAUUAUUUUUAUGUAAGGUGCUGUUCAU